This 433-nucleotide ribosomal RNA is filed under the name uncultured bacterium. Its description in RNAcentral is "partial 16S ribosomal RNA". It matches the Rfam family "Bacterial small subunit ribosomal RNA", at positions 29 to 507 of the family's 1533-position model. The record is from RNAcentral.
AACGAACGCUGGCGGCAUGCUUAACACAUGCAAGUCGAACGAUCACUUCGGGGUUAGUGGCGCAGCUCUGGGUGCCGAGUGGGAAGUAGCACUUAGGUUAGGAGUCCCUGAGUGUGAUUUGACUUAAUAAAGCUUAGUGUCUUAGCACAAAAGAUUUCUCGCUGUUGGAUGGGGGCUGGUUGGUUUAGCUGGUUGGUGGUGUAAAGGCGGACCAACGCGACGAUGCAUAGCUGGUCUGAGAGGAUGAUCAGCCGCACUGGGAGUGAGACACGGCCCAGACUCCGACGCGAGGCAGCAGUAGGGAAUAUUGGACAAUGGGCGAAAGCCUGAUCCAGCAAUGCCGCGUGAGUGAGGAAGGCCUUAGUGUUGUAAAGCUCUUUUACCCGGGAUGAUAAUGACAGUACCGGGAAAAUAAGCCCCGGCUAACUCCGUG